AGGGGCAGCGGGGAGUGAGGCUUGCCUUACCCUUAAAGCGACCGGCGCACGGGUGAGUAACACGUAUGCAACCUACCCUUUACAGCGGGAUAACCGGAAGAAAUUUUCCCAAAAACCGCAUAUACUCCUUGGGAGGCAUCUUCCGAGGGGGAAAGAAUUUCGGUGAAGGAUGGGCAUGCGUCGCAUUAGUUAGUUGGCGGUGUAACGGACCACCAAGACGACGAUGCGUAGGGGUUCUGAGAGGAAGGUCCCCCACACUGGUACUGAGACACGGACCAGACUCCUACGGGAGGCAGCAGUGAGGAAUAUUGGUCAAUGGCCGAGAGGCUGAUUUUUUUUAGUCGCGUGAGGGAAGAAUGUCCUAUGGAUUGUAAACCUCUUUUGUCUUGUUUUUUUUUCCCCCCCCCGUGGGUGUUGGAGAGUACUUUAAUAAAAAGCAUCGGCUAACUCCGUGCCAGCAGCCGCGGUAAUAUGGAGGAUGCGAGCGUUAUCCGGAUUUAUUGGGUUUAAAGGGUGCGUAGGCGGGUUAUCAAGUCAGCGGUAAAAUCGUGGAGCUCAACUCCAUCCAGCCGUUGAAACUGAUGAUCUUGAGUGGGCGAGAAGUAUGCGGAAUGCGUGGUGUAGCGGUGAAAUGCAUAGAUUUCUUAGAGAACUCCGAUUGCGAAGGCAGCAUACCGGCGCCCGACUGACGCUGAAGCACGAAAGCGUGGG
Molecule: ribosomal RNA, 711 nt
Filed under: uncultured bacterium
Lineage: Bacteria
Description: partial 16S ribosomal RNA
Rfam family: Bacterial small subunit ribosomal RNA
Source: RNAcentral